CUGAGCCCCUCUGGAACCCAGGGAGGGACCAAGACAGAGAGGCAACAGAAGAUCCCAUGAGGUCAAGUGGGCUCUCUCUGGGUGAAGUGCUGGAUGCCAGAAAUAUUUACAUAAAUUAAAUAUUGCAAUAAAAAAGACUACUAUGCCCUGCCUGGCUAAAGACACUGACUACAAUCACACCGAGCUGAAGCUGUAUCCACCUGCAGAGACAUAUGCCAACAGGCAUGCCUUCCUGAAUGCACACCAGUAUCCAUCUUCCCUUCUCCCAGCCUCUCCUGACCAAGCUGCUCAUACUGAGUCUGAGGUCCUGAAGCAGAGAUCGAUGAAUGGUGGUGUUUAUCUUGAUUUCUCUCUUUAUUCCGUCCAGAUUGGGCCAUAGUGAUGUCGAUGCCCAGGGUGGGUCUUCCUGCUUCCGUUAGUCUCCUAUUUCACAGACACGCCCAAAGACUUGUACCCAAGAUGAGUCUAGGUCCAGCAAGUUGGCAAUCGAUAUUAACCACCACUUGUUUGAAAAACAACCCAAAUACCACAUUCUGUAUGGCGUGGAAACUUUAUGAUUUAAAGUAAGACUUUUAUUCAAAGACUUCAGAGUUAUCAAUGAAAGCCAAGUGGGCUUUAAAAUAAAUAAUUGCUAUAUUUCA
Molecule: non-coding RNA, 641 nt
Organism: Myodes glareolus (Bank vole)
Lineage: Eukaryota; Metazoa; Chordata; Mammalia; Rodentia; Cricetidae
Source: RefSeq, a predicted model, not a curated record